GAUGAACGCUGGCGGCGUGCCUAAUACAUGCAAGUCGAGCGAACGGACGAGAAGCUUGCUUCUCUGAUGUUAGCGGCGGACGGGUGAGUAACACGUGGAUAACCUACCUAUAAGACUGGGAUAACUUCGGGAAACCGGAGCUAAUACCGGAUAAUAUUUUGAACCGCAUGGUUCAAAAGUGAAAGACGGUCUUGCUGUCACUUAUAGAUGGAUCCGCGCUGCAUUAGCUAGUUGGUAAGGUAACGGCUUACCAAGGCAACGAUGCAUAGCCGACCUGAGAGGGUGAUCGGCCACACUGGAACUGAGACACGGUCCAGACUCCUACGGGAGGCAGCAGUAGGGAAUCUUCCGCAAUGGGCGAAAGCCUGACGGAGCAACGCCGCGUGAGUGAUGAAGGUCUUCGGAUCGUAAAACUCUGUUAUUAGGGAAGAACAUAUGUGUAAGUAACUGUGCACAUCUUGACGGUACCUAAUCAGAAAGCCACGGCUAACUACGUGCCAGCAGCCGCGGUAAUACGUAGGUGGCAAGCGUUAUCCGGAAUUAUUGGGCGUAAAGCGCGCGUAGGCGGUUUUUUAAGUCUGAUGUGAAAGCCCACGGCUCAACCGUGGAGGGUCAUUAGAAACUGGAAAACUUGAGUGCAGAAGAGGAAAGUGGAAUUCCAUGUGUAGCGGUGAAAUGCGCAGAGAUAUGGAGGAACACCAGUGGCGAAGGCGACUUUCUGGUCUGUAACUGACGCUGAUGUGCGAAAGCGUGGGGAUCAAACAGGAUUAGAUACCCUGGUAGUCCACGCCGUAAACGAUGAGUGCUAAGUGUUAGGGGGUUUCCGCCCCUUAGUGCUGCAGCUAACGCAUUAAGCACUCCGCCUGGGGAGUACGACCGCAAGGUUGAAACUCAAAGGAAUUGACGGGGACCCGCACAAGCGGUGGAGCAUGUGGUUUAAUUCGAAGCAACGCGAAGAACCUUACCAAAUCUUGACAUCCUUUGACAACUCUAGAGAUAGAGCUUUCCCCUUCGGGGGACAAAGUGACAGGUGGUGCAUGGUUGUCGUCAGCUCGUGUCGUGAGAUGUUGGGUUAAGUCCCGCAACGAGCGCAACCCUUAAGCUUAGUUGCCAUCAUUAAGUUGGGCACUCUAAGUUGACUGCCGGUGACAAACCGGAGGAAGGUGGGGAUGACGUCAAAUCAUCAUGCCCCUUAUGAUUUGGGCUACACACGUGCUACAAUGGACAAUACAAAGGGCAGCGAAACCGCGAGGUCAAGCAAAUCCCAUAAAGUUGUUCUCAGUUCGGAUUGUAGUCUGCAACUCGACUACAUGAAGCUGGAAUCGCUAGUAAUCGUAGAUCAGCAUGCUACGGUGAAUACGUUCCCGGGUCU
This 1372-nucleotide ribosomal RNA is filed under the name uncultured bacterium. RNAcentral describes it as "bacterial SSU rRNA". It matches the Rfam family "Bacterial small subunit ribosomal RNA", at positions 28 to 1381 of the family's 1533-position model. The record is from RNAcentral.